This 253-nucleotide ribosomal RNA is filed under the name uncultured bacterium. Its description in RNAcentral is "partial 16S ribosomal RNA". It matches the Rfam family "Bacterial small subunit ribosomal RNA", at positions 524 to 776 of the family's 1533-position model. The record is from RNAcentral.
UACGAAGGGGGCUAGCGUUGCUCGGAAUCACUGGGCGUAAAGCGCACGUAGGCGGCUUGGCAAGUCGGAUGUGAAAUCCCUCGGCUCAACCAAGGAAGUGCAUCCGAAACUGCCGAGCUUGAGUACUUAAGAGGAUCGCGGAAUUCCCGGUGUAGAGGUGAAAUUCGUAGAUAUCGGGAGGAACACCGGUGGCGAAGGCGGCGACCUGGGUAGAUACUGACGCUGAGGUGCGAAAGCGUGGGGAGCAAACAGG